GGGGAUGUAGCUCAGUGGUAGAGCGCUUGCUUCGCAUGUAAGAAGUCCAGGGUUCAAUCCCCUGCAUCUCCA
Molecule: non-coding RNA, 72 nt
Organism: Ictalurus furcatus (blue catfish)
Lineage: Eukaryota; Metazoa; Chordata; Actinopteri; Siluriformes; Ictaluridae
Source: the annotation of a RefSeq genome assembly